AGCAGAUUGAAUUAGAUCUAAAAGCCACCCAGGCCUUGGUCCUAGCACCCACUCGAGAAUUGGCUCAGCAGAUACAGAAGGUGGUCAUGGCACUAGGAGACUACAUGGGCGCCUCCUGUCAUGCCUGUAUCGGGGGCACCAACGUGCGUGCUGAGGUGCAGAAACUGCAGAUGGAAGCUCCCCACAUCAUCGUGGGUACCCCUGGCCGUGUGUUUGAUAUGCUUAACCGGAGAUACCUGUCUCCCAAAUACAUCAAGAUGUUUGUAUUGGAUGAAGCUGACGAAAUGCUAAGCCGUGGAUUCAAGGACCAGAUCUAUGACAUAUUCCAAAAGCUCAACAGCAACACCCAGGUAGUUUUGCUGUCAGCCACGAUGCCUUCUGAUGUGCUUGAGGUGACCAAGAAGUUCAUGAGGGACCCCAUUCGGAUUCUUGUCAAGAAGGAAGAGUUGACCCUGGAGGGUAUCCGCCAAUUCUACAUCAACGUGGAACGAGAGGUGGGGCCCAGUGCAGGAGGCGGGCCUGGUAGUGAGUUGUUGGGUAUAGCCCCUGACUGAUUUUUGUCCCCCAACCUCCA
RNAcentral lists this small RNA (574 nucleotides) under Pongo abelii (Sumatran orangutan). RNAcentral describes it as "retained intron". The record is from RNAcentral. Lineage: Eukaryota; Metazoa; Chordata; Mammalia; Primates; Hominidae.